RNAcentral lists this ribosomal RNA (253 nucleotides) under uncultured bacterium. RNAcentral's name for it is "partial 16S ribosomal RNA". It matches the Rfam family "Bacterial small subunit ribosomal RNA", at positions 524 to 776 of the family's 1533-position model. The record is from RNAcentral.
GACGUAGGGCGCAAGCGUUGUCCGGAUUUAUUGGGCGUAAAGAGCUCGUAGGCGGCUCGUUGCGUCGGCUGUGAAAACCCGCAGCUCAACUGUGGGCUUGCAGCCGAUACGGGCGGGCUGGAGUUCGGUAGGGGAGACUGGAAUUCCUGGUGUAGCGGUGAAAUGCGCAGAUAUCAGGAGGAACACCGGUGGUGUAGACGGCUUUCUGGACCGUAACUGACGCUGAGACACGAAAGCGUGGGUAGCAAACAGG